Molecule: ribosomal RNA, 496 nt
Filed under: uncultured bacterium
Lineage: Bacteria
Description: partial 16S ribosomal RNA
Rfam family: Bacterial small subunit ribosomal RNA
Source: RNAcentral
GAUGAACGCUGGCGGCGUGCCUAAUACAUGCAAGUCGAGCGAACGGACGAGAAGCUUGCUUCUCUGAUGUUAGCGGCGGACGGGUGAGUAACACGUGGAUAACCUACCUAUAAGACUGGGAUAACUUCGGGAAACCGGAGCUAAUACCGGAUAAUAUUUUGAACCGCAUGGUUCAAAAGUGAAAGACGGUCUUGCUGUCACUUAUAGAUGGAUCCGCGCUGCAUUAGCUAGUUGGUAGGUAACGGCUUACCAAGGCAACGAUGCAUAGCCGACCUGAGAGGGUGAUCGGCCACACUGGAACUGAGACACGGUCCAGACUCCUACGGGAGGCAGCAGUAGGGAAUCUUCCGCAAUGGGCGAAAGCCUGACGGAGCAACGCCGCGUGAGUGAUGAAGGUCUUCGGAUCGUAAAACUCUGUUGUUAGGGAAGAACAUAUGUGUAAGUAACUGUGCACAUCUUGACGGUACCUAAUCAGAAAGCCACGGCUAACUACGUG